RNA transcript from Sorghum bicolor (sorghum), 2135 nucleotides. RefSeq lists it as uncharacterized. NCBI's taxonomy places the organism in Eukaryota, Viridiplantae, Streptophyta, Magnoliopsida, Poales, Poaceae. The transcript is spliced from 6 exons. The record is from RefSeq and is a predicted model, not a curated record.
GAGGUAAAGAAAAAAAACAAAAAAAACACGCACCUAUCCUAUCCUCUCGAUCUCUCCCGACACAGACGGCCAAAGGCGACGACGCCCUACGGGCGGCGAGCCGACCUCCGCGCCAACGUGUGGGCAGGACGGCCGCGACCUGCCUCCCGCAGUCCCGCUGGCCUCCUCUCUCUCUUCCCCUUGCUCUCUCCCUCUCCAUCACGGCGCGGAUAGGGUGACGAUGGCUGCCACAGGUGGGUGCGACGGCUGCGAGCGCCCUCCUCCUUUCCCCCUCGCGACUGGGCCCCGCCAGCGUCGCUUGCCCCAGGUGCUGCCUCCGCCCUCUGCUCCGUGUGCGUUCAUGUGCUGCAGGUGCUACAGGAAACCCUAGCAGCCUGUGCUAGGGGUCGCGAUGGCCCAGCUUCGAGCCUUCGACCCAACCCUCGGCGGUGGUGCCUUACUCCAGUGUGGACAUGCUCGCCGGCGACAGCAGCGGCGGCUACCAGGUUGUUGUCCCUCUGCCAACUACGUGGGCGAUGAGUUUUUGCAGGACUCUCAUGCUCUCUUGACUAGAGAGGAUGAUACUUGGGAAGAUUGCGUUCUCAUUCAUAAAAUUCGUAAGCUUGGUAGCAGCACAAUCAAAUUAAGGCGCCGAUUUUCGCCGACUGAAUCUCCAGAUUAUUGUACUGUUUUCGUCUUGAACAUAUGGAUGGGGAUCUUGUGCAGAGAUCUAAAGCCAUAGGUUUUUGCUACAUAAAUUCUACCAUGUUCUUCUUCAUGUAUGCCAACCUGAAUAAAUCACCUGCAUAUGGAAUGAGUACAGAAUUGACGAUGCCUACCUAUAACAAGGUAUUUAAAUUGCUGUUUUUCCUUUGGACCCUUACUCCCUUUAGUUUUGGCCAACUGGAGGACUAUUGUUGCCUACCUGAUGUAUGUUGUCUCUUCAUCAUGCAUAUCCUACUACGAAUCAAAGUCAGGAUAUGGACAAAGCCAGUACCUGUUGUCUUGCGACGCAUUACUAUGCUAUAUAUUCCCUCCCUGUGACUGCUAUUUCAGAUUCAUAUAUAAUCAGCAUGUCUUCUCAGUUCAUCUGGAGACUGGUCAUUUCUUUAUAGUGGUAAGAGCAACAUAAAUGAAGCUAUCGCUGAACAACCUGAUGUAGACAACAAGAGGCAAUUUCUAGAUUCAUUAAAAAAGGGUAAUUUGUUCACGCGAGCCUGUUUGUUUAUGCUUGCAUAAUUCAUAAAUAUAAAUAGAGAUGGAAACCACAUGAAUUUCUAUCAGAGAUUUUGAGAGGACUAAAACAAAUAAUUACGAGGCAAUGUGUUUGUCAUAUUAUUUUAACUCAAAUCAACCUCCAUUUUUAAUAUAUCUCUCUUGCUUAGUACACCUUGUUUGUGAUUUGGUUUCCUGUUUCAUAUGAUGGCUGCAGCCCACUGGCGAUCCUCUCACAUGGUCUACCGUGAACGGUAGUACUGGUCAUGCCAAAACUUCUUUCUUCCUGCACUGUAACAGAACACUCCAUCUGUUCCUUGCAAGUAGGGCUGAUGGAGUUGGCCUAGGAUUGUCUCCAUUUGCAGCAUCCAUUGUUGCUUGCAACCUAAUAUAGUUUUCAGGAUUAUGUAAUGUCAGUGUCUCCAUAACUAUAUUUUUUAGUGCUUAAAAUUACCAAAGCUAGAUAUCAUUAUUUCUCCAAUGCUAACAUAAGAAUAGUUCCAAUGUUUGGUAGAAACUCAAAAGAAGCUAUGUGAAAGUGGGAAGGAUCCAGCUGUUGUCACAAAAAUUUCUGUCUCAGAGGGUCUCUAAAAGUGGAAGCGCUGGCCAAACUGGCAAAAAAAAAAGUUCAAAGCAACCUGGGGAUGCAUUCCAGGUUUCUUCUCUUCCACAAGCCUGGAAACAAGAAGGUGUUAGCCCAUCAUUUAAGGACCAAGAAACAAAAAAAGUUUUAUGGCCAAAUAAGCAAGUUUGAGGGGAAAAAGGACCAAGAAACUAAACGGCACUUUUAGGACUAUGGAAAUAAUUCCCUCUAAUAAAAAUGCUAAUAGGCUAUAAGCAUUGGACAAUAUUUAAUUUAUUAUAUAUCUAUAUGUCUAUUUAUAUCUAUGAUAUUAACUGUAUCCAUAUUAAUGUUAAAACAUAAAUGGUUUUUUUGUCUA